UGGGGAAUAUUGCACAAUGGGCGAAAGCCUGAUGCAGCAACGCCGCGUGAGUGAUGAAGGCCUUCGGGUUGUAAAGCUCUGUCUUCUGGGACGAUAAUGACGGUACCAGAGGAGGAAGCCACGGCUAACUACGUGCCAGCAGCCGCGGUAAUACGUAGGUGGCAAGCGUUGUCCGGAAUUACUGGGCGUAAAGGAUGCGUAGGCGGAUAUUUAAGUCAGAUGUGAAAUCCCCGGGCUUAACUUGUGGGCUGCAUUUGAAACUGGGUAUCUAGAGUGCAGGAGAGGUAAGUGGAAUUCCUAGUGUAGCGGUGAAAUGCGUAGAGAUUAGGAAGAACACCAGUGGCGAAGGCGACUUACUGGACUGUAACUGACGCUGAGGCAUGAAAGCGUGGGGAGCAAACA
RNAcentral lists this ribosomal RNA (402 nucleotides) under uncultured bacterium. RNAcentral's name for it is "bacterial SSU rRNA". It matches the Rfam family "Bacterial small subunit ribosomal RNA", at positions 355 to 774 of the family's 1533-position model. The record is from RNAcentral.